AAAAGAAAACUUUAUGAUUGUAAGAGAAUUUCCGCGGGAAAAUUAGCGAAGUUUCUUCUUACUGGAAAUCUCAAAAACAGACAAGAAGCUUCAACUUAAGAAGAACUUUAAGAGAAGACAAGAAAUUGUGGGAAUUUGUUUCCUUUCUUGGGAAAAUAAAAGAGAGUGGACAAAGAUGCAGAUUUCCCCACACAAGAAGAAAUGAAACUGUGGGAGAAUCAGAAUCCAAGAAAAUGAAAGGACUUUGGAUCUGUGAAUAUAAAACUACA
Molecule: long non-coding RNA, 269 nt
Organism: Arabidopsis thaliana (thale cress)
Lineage: Eukaryota; Viridiplantae; Streptophyta; Magnoliopsida; Brassicales; Brassicaceae
Product: other RNA
Exons: 1
Source: RefSeq